RNAcentral lists this ribosomal RNA (301 nucleotides) under uncultured bacterium. Its description in RNAcentral is "partial 16S ribosomal RNA". It matches the Rfam family "Bacterial small subunit ribosomal RNA", at positions 509 to 807 of the family's 1533-position model. The record is from RNAcentral.
CAGCCGCCGCGGUAAUACAGAGGGUGCGAGCGUUAAUCGGAUUUACUGGGCGUAAAGCGCGCGUAGGUGGUUUGGUAAGAUGGAUGUGAAAUCCCCGGGCUCAACCUGGGAACUGCAUCCAUAACUGCCUGACUAGAGUACGGUAGAGGGUGGUGGAAUUUCCUGUGUAGCGGUGAAAUGCGUAGAUAUAGGAAGGAACACCAGUGGCGAAGGCGACCACCUGGACUGAUACUGACACUGAGGUGCGAAAGCGUGGGGAGCAAACAGGAUUAGAUACCCGCGUAGUCCCUGUCUCUUAUAC